CUAGCUACAGGCUUAACACAUGCAAGUCGAGGGGCAGCAUGGUCUUAGCUUGCUAAGGCCGAUGGCGACCGGCGCACGGGUGAGUAACACGUAUCCAACCUGCCGUCUACUCUUGGACAGCCUUCUGAAAGGAAGAUUAAUACAAGAUGGCAUCAUGAGUCCGCAUGUUCACAUGAUUAAAGGUAUUCCGGUAGACGAUGGGGAUGCGUUCCAUUAGAUAGUAGGCGGGGUAACGGCCCACCUAGUCUUCGAUGGAUAGGGGUUCUGAGAGGAAGGUCCCCCACAUUGGAACUGAGACACGGUCCAAACUCCUACGGGAGGCAGCAGUGAGGAAUAUUGGUCAAUGGGCGAGAGCCUGAACCAGCCAAGUAGCGUGAAGGAUGACUGCCCUAUGGGUUGUAAACUUCUUUUAUAAAGGAAUAAAGUCGGGUAUGGAUACCCGUUUGCAUGUACUUUAUGAAUAAGGAUCGGCUAACUCCGUGCCAGCAGCCGCGGUAAUACGGAGGAUCCGAGCGUUAUCCGGAUUUAUUGGGUUUAAAGGGAGCGUAGAUGGAUGUUUAAGUCAGUUGUGAAAGUUUGCGGCUCAACCGUAAAAUUGCAGUUGAUACUGGAUAUCUUGAGUGCAGUUGAGGCAGGCGGAAUUCGUGGUGUAGCGGUGAAAUGCUUAGAUAUCACGAAGAACUCCGAUUGCGAAGGCAGCCUGCUAAGCUGCAACUGACAUUGAGGCUCGAAAGUGUGGGUAUCAAACAGGAUUAGAUACCCUGGUAGUCCACACGGUAAACGAUGAAUACUCGCUGUUUGCGAUAUACAGCAAGCGGCCAAGCGAAAGCGUUAAGUAUUCCACCUGGGGAGUACGCCGGCAACGGUGAAACUCAAAGGAAUUGACGGGGGCCCGCACAAGCGGAGGAACAUGUGGUUUAAUUCGAUGAUACGCGAGGAACCUUACCCGGGCUUAAAUUGCAGAUGAAUUACGGUGAAAGCCGUAAGCCGCAAGGCAUCUGUGAAGGUGCUGCAUGGUUGUCGUCAGCUCGUGCCGUGAGGUGUCGGCUUAAGUGCCAUAACGAGCGCAACCCUUGUUGUCAGUUACUAACAGGUUCCGCUGAGGACUCUGACAAGACUGCCAUCGUAAGAUGUGAGGAAGGUGGGGAUGACGUCAAAUCAGCACGGCCCUUACGUCCGGGGCUACACACGUGUUACAAUGGGGGGUACAGAGGGCCGCUACCACGCGAGUGGAUGCCAAUCCCCAAAACCUCUCUCAGUUCGGACUGGAGUCUGCAACCCGACUCCACGAAGCUGGAUUCGCUAGUAAUCGCGCAUCAGCCACGGCGCGGUGAAUACGCUCCCGGGCCUUGUACACACCGCCCGUCAAGCCAUGGGAGCCGGGGGUACCUGAAGUGCGUAACCGCGAGGAGCGCCCUAGGGUAAAACUGGUGACUGGGGC
This 1441-nucleotide ribosomal RNA is filed under the name uncultured organism. Its description in RNAcentral is "16S ribosomal RNA". It matches the Rfam family "Bacterial small subunit ribosomal RNA". The record is from RNAcentral.